Molecule: long non-coding RNA, 338 nt
Organism: Bos taurus (domestic cattle)
Lineage: Eukaryota; Metazoa; Chordata; Mammalia; Artiodactyla; Bovidae
Source: Ensembl
CAGGGGCCCAGAGAUCAUCGUCCAUGGGGGUAUGGGGGGGCCCAGGGUUGUGCAGAGAAGUGGGGAGAGGCAGGAGCCAAAUCCAGGGACCUGGAGGAAGAGGGAGUUCCAUGGAGGAAGCUGGGACCCAGUGUCCCAUCCCCCAACCAGGUACCACAGAUAAUGCAAAGACCUUGCUGCUGUGCUAUGCUCAGUUGUGUCUGACUCGUUCCCACGCCAUGGACUAUAGCCAGCUAGGCUCCUCUGUCCAUGGAAUUUUCCAGGCAAGGAUACUGAAGUGAGUUGCCAUUCCUUUCUCCAGGGGAUCCUCCUGACCCAGGGAUGGAAGCUACAGGCGG